This 247-nucleotide ribosomal RNA is filed under the name uncultured bacterium. RNAcentral describes it as "partial 16S ribosomal RNA". It matches the Rfam family "Bacterial small subunit ribosomal RNA", at positions 109 to 353 of the family's 1533-position model. The record is from RNAcentral.
AGUAACGCGUGAGUAACCUGCCUUCAAGAGGGGGAUAACAUUCUGAAAAGAAUGCUAAUACCGCAUGACAUAUCGGAACCACAUGGUUUUGAUAUCAAAGAUUUUAUCGCUUGAAGAUGGACUCGCGUCCGAUUAGUUAGUUGGUGAGGUAACGGCUCACCAAGACCGCGAUCGGUAGCCAGACUGAGAGGUUGAACGGCCACAUUGGGACUGAGACACGGCCCAGACUCCUACGGGAGGCAGCAUG